GGCCGCAAGGCUAAAACUCAAAGGAAUAGACGGGGACUCGCACAAGCGGUGGAUCACGCGGCUUAAUUCGAUGAUACACGAAGAACCUUACCAAGGCUAGAAAUUUAGUUCAUGCUCUACAUUGGAAACAAAUAAGAGAUAUCGGGCUAAACAGGUGCUGCAUGGUCGUCGUCAGUUCGUGGCUUGAGCUGUUCCGUUAAGUCGGGAAACGAACGCAACCCUCAUCGUCUGUUAUACGUGUCAGACGAGACUGCCUCGCCUUAAGUGGUUAAGGUUUGAGGACUUUUUUGAGAAAAAUACUUAUUUUUGAAUUUAUUCAUCUAUUCUAUUUUUCUCAGCAAAGUUCUUAAACUUUGAAGAUUUAAGGCGGGGAGGAAGGUGAGGAUGACGCCAGAUCAGCAUGGCCCUUGAUGCCUUGGGCUGCACGCAUGAUACAAUGCCAUAGACAACGGGUCGCGACGGAGCAAUCCUGAGCUAAUCCUUCAAACUAUGGCCAAGUUCGGAUUGGGGGCUGAAACUCGCCCCCAUGAAGUUGGAAUCGCUAGUAAUCGCAGGUCAGCUAUACUGCGGUGAAUAUGUUCUCGAGUCUUGUACUCACCGCCCGUCAAGUCAAGGGAGUUGGGAGCACCCAAAGGCCGUAUUUAUUACGGACUAAGGUGAAUUCAAUAACAAGGACUAAGUCGUAACAAGGCACGGCUAGCGGAAGCUG
RNAcentral lists this ribosomal RNA (709 nucleotides) under Minisyncoccota bacterium. Its description in RNAcentral is "bacterial SSU rRNA". It matches the Rfam family "Bacterial small subunit ribosomal RNA", at positions 884 to 1514 of the family's 1533-position model. Lineage: Bacteria; Bacillati; Minisyncoccota. The record is from RNAcentral.